RNAcentral lists this ribosomal RNA (406 nucleotides) under uncultured bacterium. Its description in RNAcentral is "bacterial SSU rRNA". It matches the Rfam family "Bacterial small subunit ribosomal RNA", at positions 29 to 418 of the family's 1533-position model. The record is from RNAcentral.
AACGAACGCUGGCGGCGUGCCUAACACAUGCAAGUCGUGCGAGAAAGUUCCUUCGGGAGCGAGUAAAGCGGCGCACGGGUGAGUAACACGUAGGUAACCUGCCCCCCAGUCUGGAACAACUAGAGGAAACUCUAGCUAAUGCCGGAUGAGACCACGAUCCCUUCGGGGGUUGCGGCCAAAGAUGGCCUCUACUUGUAAGCUAUCGCUGAGGGAUGGGCCUGCGGGCCAUUAGCUUGUUGGUGAGGUAACGGCUCACCAAGGCUGUGAUGGCUAGCUGGUCUGAGAGGAUGACCAGCCACACUGGGACUGAGACACGGCCCAGACUCCUGCGGGAGGCAGCAGUGGGGAAUAUUGCGCAAUGGGCGAAAGCCUGACGCAGCGACGCCGCGUGGGUGAUGAAGGCCUC